GGACAUUCUGGGGCUUCCCAUCUCCAACAUAAGAAGCUAAGAAGGCUGCAGCUUCCACCGGGCCUCUUGGGCUGCGUACUCUUGACACUCCUGCUCUGAGAACUAAGCAGGCAUAUUUCAUAUCAAAAUAGUAAAGAACUUCCUUUCCAAAGGCAGGACUUGCUUCUGUGAGGUACUGAGCCACCCGUCCCUGGAGGAAAGCAAGAACAGAGCAGAUCAGAGCCCAGGAAGACAUCUUGGAUGAUGGGGUACAUCUUGCCAUCCAGAGGCAAUGCUGGAGCGGGCAGUUGUCUGCGGGGAGGCCCUGGCUCACUCUGGGCCAAAUAACAGGACUGAUUGCAGCCAGCGAUGAAACAUCCUGUUUCUCCCAACCAGAAACAGGUAGAGCUAUACACUUAAAGUUUAUUUUUCAACCAGGGCACAUUAUGAACAUCAAGAAUGAAAGAUUUAAAAGAUGAAACAUGGACUUAUUUCUUCUACAAAGGACUGGCAGAACCAGAGGCAUAUUCAGGGUCUCUACCCCUUUCUCCAUUUCUUAGAUUUUAUUGAUGUUAUUUAGGUUAUCAACAAAGGAUUGAACCUUCAGAUUACUGUGACUCAUAUAACUUUAGGUUUUCCUGUUAAUCUAUAGACAUAAGAACGUACUUACAUUUGACUUAAUCUGUAGCUAUGUCAGUUAAGGUCCCAGGAUAAAAGAGGUAGCACAACAGAUUGGCUGGCUUUCUAAUUUAAUAAAGAACCAAUUUAACAAUGUGUGGGGUAUUUUGUAUGAUUCCACUUCAUUAGAUGUCCAGAACAGGCAGAUCUAAUAAGGCAGUAGGUAGAUCAGUGGUCGCUCAGGG
Molecule: long non-coding RNA, 842 nt
Organism: Pan paniscus (pygmy chimpanzee)
Lineage: Eukaryota; Metazoa; Chordata; Mammalia; Primates; Hominidae
Source: Ensembl